UUGGGCAGCAAGGAGAUCAAACCAGUCAAUCCUAAAGGAAAUCAACUCGGAAUAUUCAUUGGAAGGACUGAUGCUGAAGCUGAAGCUCCGAUACUUUGGCCACCUGAUGGUGAGUUAGCCAAGAUCCUGAAGAGACCCGACUCUGCCCACCUGCCUGCCCUGAACACUGACUCCAGAAGUUGGCAAAGCUGCUGCCACCACCCAGCUCUCCCACUCGGCUAUCUGCAGUCAUGUCAGCCGAGACCAAGAGGCAUCAUUGCAAGACCAAGGGAUGAAUUCAUUCUUUUUAAUAAAGGAAUCUUCAAAUCAAAUAGCCCUUCUAGCUAUUUCAUCAACAACCCACUGGAGUGCCAGUCACAGAGACCACUCAUUUACCAGAUUCUGCUGCUGCUGCUGCUGAGUCGCUUCAGUCGUGUCCAACUCUGUGCAACCCCAUAGACGGCAGCCCACCAGGCUCCCCUAUCCCUGGGAUUCUCCAGGCAAGAACACUGGAGUGGGUUGCCAUUUCCUUCUACAAUGCAUGAAAGUGAAAAGUGAAAGGGAAGUUGCUCAGUCGUGUCCAACUCUUAGCGACCCCAUGGACGGCAGCCUUCCAGGCUCCUCUGUCCAUGUGAUUUUCCAGGCAAGAGUACUGGAGUGGGGUGCCAUCGCCUUCUCUGGUAUAUAGAUUCACUUUCACUUAUUUUAUUUUUAGAUUUCACAUAUAAAUGAUGUGACAUAUCAUUUGUCUUUCUCUGAUUUACUUCACUAAGUAUGAUAUUCUCUAGGCCCAUCCAGGUUACUGCAAAUUGCAAUCUUUCAUUCUUUUUAUGGCUUAUAUUUAGGUCUUUAAACCACUUUGAGUUUAUUUUGGUAUAUGGUGUGGGGGAGUGUUUUACCUUUGUUGAUUUACAUGAGGCUGUCCAGCUUUCCCAUCACCACUUGUUGAAGACACUCCCUUGUCUCCAUUUAUAUUCUUGCCUCCUUUCAUAGAUUAAUUGACCACAGAUGCAUGUGUUUAUUUCUGGGCUCUCUAUUCUGUUCCACUGAACUAUAUGUCUGGUUUUGUGCCAAAACCAUGCUGUUUUAAUUACUGUUGCUUUGUAGUGUAGUCUGAAGUCUAGAAGGGUUAUUCCUCUAACUUUGUUCUUUUUUCUUCAGGACUGCUUUGGCAAUUCUGGGCCUUUUGUGAUUUCCAGUAUAUAUUUUAGGGAUAUUUGUUCUAAUUCUCUAAAAAAUGUCAUGGGUAUUUUGAUAGGGAUUGCAUUAAAUUGGUAAAUUGCUUUGGGCAGUAUGGCCAUUUUAACAAAUAUUAAUUCUUCAAAUCCAAGAACUAAUGGA
RNAcentral lists this long non-coding RNA (1320 nucleotides) under Bos indicus x Bos taurus (hybrid cattle). RNAcentral describes it as "lncRNA (ENSBIXG00000007003.1)". Lineage: Eukaryota; Metazoa; Chordata; Mammalia; Artiodactyla; Bovidae. The record is from RNAcentral.